RNAcentral lists this ribosomal RNA (533 nucleotides) under Necturus alabamensis (Alabama waterdog). RNAcentral's name for it is "partial 16S ribosomal RNA". It matches the Rfam family "Bacterial large subunit ribosomal RNA", at positions 1839 to 2597 of the family's 2925-position model. The record is from RNAcentral. Lineage: Eukaryota; Metazoa; Chordata; Amphibia; Caudata; Proteidae.
ACAAGUAUAAGAGGUACUGCCUGCCCAGUGACAUUGUUUAACGGCCGCGGUAUUAUGACCGUGCAAAGGUAGCGUAAUCACUUGUCUUUUAAAUAAAGACUAGUAUGAAUGGCAAAACGAGGGCUCAACUGUCUCUUUAAAUUAAUCAGUGAAAUUGAUCUUCCCGUGCAGAAGCGGGAAUAAACAUAUAAGACGAGAAGACCCUGUGGAGCUUUAAACUAAAAUUAAUUAUAUUAUAUUUAAUCCAAUAGGAAAACUUUUAAAAAAAUAAAAAUAAUUUAUGUUUUUGGUUGGGGCGACCAUGGAAGAAAAAAAAUCUUCCGAGAUAAAACAUUAAGAGAUACCACUCUAAUAAUAAAACAUUUAUAAUUGAUCCAAUAUUUGAUCAACGAACCAAGUUACCCCAGGGAUAACAGCGCAAUCCUUUCCUAGAGUCCAUAUCGACGAAUGGGUUUACGACCUCGAUGUUGGAUCAGGACACCCUAAUGGNGCAGCCGCUAUUAAUGGUUCGUUUGUUCAACGAUUAAAGUCCU